AACGAACGCUGGCGGCAUGCCUAACACAUGCAAGUCGAACGAGACCUUCGGGUCUAGUUGCGCACGGGUGCGUAACGCGUGGGAACCUUCCCUUAGGUUCGGAAUAACUCCCCGAAAGGGGUGCUAAUACCGGAUAAUUUCUUCGGACCAAAGAUUUAUCGCCUUUGGAUGGGCCCGCGUUGGAUUAGCUAGUUGGUAGGGUAAAAGCCUACCAAGGCGACGAUGCAUAGCUGGUCUGAGAGGAUGAUCAGCCACACUGGGACUGAGACACGGCCCAGACUCCUACGGGAGGCAGCAGUGGGGAAUAUUGGACAAUGGGCGAAAGCCUGAUCCAGCAAUGCCGCGUGAGUGAUGAAGGCCUUAGGGUUGUAAAGCUCUUUUACCCGGGAUGAUAAUGACAGUACCGGGAGAAUAAGCUCCGGCUAACUCCGUG
RNAcentral lists this ribosomal RNA (433 nucleotides) under uncultured bacterium. Its description in RNAcentral is "partial 16S ribosomal RNA". It matches the Rfam family "Bacterial small subunit ribosomal RNA", at positions 29 to 507 of the family's 1533-position model. The record is from RNAcentral.